This 366-nucleotide transfer-messenger RNA is filed under the name Propionibacteriaceae bacterium. It matches the Rfam family "transfer-messenger RNA". Rfam says of the family: Bacterial tmRNA, also known as 10Sa RNA or SsrA, is named for its dual tRNA and mRNA-like properties. Its role is to liberate the mRNA from a stalled ribosome. The record is from RNAcentral. Lineage: Bacteria; Bacillati; Actinomycetota; Actinomycetes; Propionibacteriales; Propionibacteriaceae.
GGGGGUGAUCGGUUUCGACUUGGGGCGAUAGUUCCAGGAGAAGCGGGUCGAGAAGCCAGGGUCAUCUCGUAAAUGUCCCCUGGAAAUCAAUAAGUGCCAACUCUACGCGCACUGACUUCGCUCUGGCUGCUUAAGCUAUCCGAAGGGUCAGCCCGGAUGUGUCUUCCGUCCGGUUCCUGGCCUGGUUUAGAAGACUGGCUCGGCUGGCCUCGUCCGUAGGCUAGCCGGGGACUUAAUACGGACUGGGCCUGUCCGCGACUUGCCUGCGAGAGCGCGGAGGCCAAGCAGAACGCCCAGCAGGCUGCACCCGGAGAAGACCUGGUCCAUCCCACAAGGACGCGGGUUCGAUUCCCGCCACCUCCACAU